This is a long non-coding RNA of Equus caballus (horse), 2164 nucleotides long. Lineage: Eukaryota; Metazoa; Chordata; Mammalia; Perissodactyla; Equidae. The record is from Ensembl.
ACAGAUUCGUUCUUCCCCCUUACUCUGCUCUCCAGGAAUUGGCUUUUUACAAACAUUUCCAAGGCUACUUUCGUCAACUGCCGUCAAGCUAGGUGGGAUAAAUGGGAAGCUGUGAUAUGAGUUUGGGGCCAAAGAAAGGGAUAAGUCGAGCUGGCCACACAACCGUCUCACUGCUUCAGGAAGUAGCCUGAUCUCUCUGUGGUUCUAAUUCUAAUCAGGGUUCUAAACAGCCGCUCCCACUGUGAUGUCACCUUCUGCUGUGUGGCCCUUGUUCCUUGGCUCUUUUAAUAUCUUUGCCUUCUCCCGUUGCCCUCCAGGUCUAGGAAUGGAAGUGUUUUGCUGAUGUAGCUAAUGUUGGGGUCAAAGAAAGAAUAUAAUACACUUAUGAAAAAGAGACAGCCUCAUCAAUCCAGUUUUUCUUGGCUCAGUCAGCAGAAGAAACAGAAAUGCUGUCAUUGCUUACAUGUGAGAUAAAGGAUAAAAAGAGGGAAUGUGUUGGUUUACUGCAAAGGCCAUUCUUUUGGUUUGAGAACAUUGCUGGAAAUAACCUGAGCUGAGAAAAGCUCCCUAUGAGGAAUACAUGUUAUGGGAAACUGUUAAAGGCAAAGCUUGGUCACUGACCUUCUCCGUGUAGUUUAAUCAAGCUGCAAGCACCCCACCAAAAAAGACAGCUGCUUAAAGAAGAGAGCCCUCAACAAGCCAGGACAUUUUACCUUUCCUCUAUUACAUGAGUUGGGGAUAAGACACAAGUGCGCAAUAAAUUUCUAGUUCUCGCAUUCAGAGGCUGCACUAUAAUAAUGAUAGACUAUAAAUCACAGAAAAAAUGUUACCUUUAUUUUAGGACGGUCGAUAGCUAGAAACAGUGCUCACCAAUAGCACAGAUGUCUAGCAGAUAUAAAAACAAAUGCUUGGCAGUUGUUUAAAAAUGGGAAGUACGAGGAUCUGCCCCGAAAUAUAUUAGAAAACAGCAGCAGUUCAUCGUUUUGUCAAGUUUCCAGUUUUGCAAUUUACUAUUUUUUUAAAAAAAAAUCCCGUGUUCCGUUGUUGAAGAUAGAACUGCAACUUUGGGAAAGAGAAAAAAUUUUGGUCACGCAUUUCUGCAAAACUCUUGUAAACAUUUGUGGAUGGUAUCUACAUACACGAGCUUUUAUAUAAAUGUGUUUUAAAGUUUAAGGAAAAUUGAACGUGAGGAAUUGAAGUAAGAUGAGGCUGUAUACGAAUGGGAGGCUCCUGCAAGGACCCGAGGGGACUGGAACUAGGAUUUCAAUGUGCCAACUAUUAGCUAAUUGUGAAGAUGACACUGCCUGGCCAGACUCAGAGUCCACAUCCCAGCGGCUGCCUCAAAAGAGCUGUUAGAAGAAGAAAAUGCUCAUUUGUUGCAACUGAGACCAUGUGCUCUGAAAUCCAGUCAUGGGCAUUGGAAAUGGAGAUCCCUCUAAAAACUGUGGCAAUGCUGAGGGUCCAAGAGGCUCUUGAUACCACUCCUGGAGAGGUUGUUUUCUCUGGAAGCAGGAACUGAGAGUGAAUUUGGAUUAUCGUGAUCAAUAUGGAAGUAAAAUCUACAAGUUCAAAUGAGACUUAGAGUUAUUCUCUGAAGAUUUAGCAACAAAGACUGCCAAGUGUUUAAUCAAAAGGCAAUGUACAAGGGGCCAGGGAUACAGUGAUGAGCAAAAAGAUUUCUGUGCCUUCAUUGACCCUAUAUUUUAGCAAGAGAGACAGAUUGCAUUUUCUCACGAUAAAAAUGGAUAGUUGUGGCUUGGAAAAUGGGAAACUGGACCAACUAUGAACUAGAGCAAAGUUGAAGACAACUCUAAAUGUUUCGAGAGUAUUUUUGGUAAUUCCCUGAGCUUUCCUGACAAUUGGUCCUUCUACCCUCACUGCAUCCUGUGGGAUAAUGUUACAUACCCGAAGUCCGGGAGGCAGCACGGUGCAACUUCAGGGGUAGUAGCAGUUUUCCUUUUUUGUUUUUUUUUCAAUUAAACGGUUUUUCCGAGAAAACCUAAUUAUUUAAUAGUGUUGUAGCUCUGAAGUUGUGAGUUGAUUCGAGAUAUUUGGAGUUCUGGUUCUGUGAGGCUUAGCUACAUGUGGCUAUUGGAUCACAUAUCCGCUCCCCUGCCAUGUAAGAUGAAAACACGUUGGAAUAUAACUAUUGGUUGGCUUUGUG